UACUUCCCCUUUUGAGAGGUCUUCGGGUU
This 29-nucleotide non-coding RNA is filed under the name Mus musculus (house mouse). Lineage: Eukaryota; Metazoa; Chordata; Mammalia; Rodentia; Muridae. The record is from RNAcentral.